UGCAGUGUUUCAAGACUCUGUCCCUCUGGUGGAGCAAUCUCAGUCUUUCUGGAUGCUUCUGCUUCCCACUCAGGCAGAUCCAGUCUACUUGGAGCAGAAUGAAUUAAGGAGAUAAAAUGGGCUGUAUCACUUCAGGCUUCAGUCCAAAGCCUGAAGUGCCACUACUGUCUACGGGAGAACCCAACUCAAGGCUGUGACGGAAAAGUGAAUGUAUGUUUCCCAAAAGACAAACAAAAAUGCAUUGCAGUCACUGUCCUUCAUCAAAACAAAUUGAAGUACAGGAUGGAAGGCUGUACCAAUAGCGUCACUGACUGUACCAGAAGAAGGGCACAGAGGGUUGGCUAUUCUGUGACUGUCUCGUGCUGUGAAACAGAUUUGUGCAACCACUGGGAAGCUGACCAUUAGUUUGAAAGAAAACACAGGCAACAUCAGGAAUCUUAUAGUUCUUUGCAAUUUGGCACCCACAAUAGAUUGUAAGUGGAGUAGGAGUGUAUGUGUGUGCAGGCACCUGUGUGUGUUUAUGAUUCUGUAUAUAUGUGUUAUCAGUGGUGAAUGUACAGCUUUUAGUUUUGCUAAAACUCUAAUUUCUUCCAUUGUAUAUUAAUUUUGGCCUGCAUUAAUGUCAGUUUGUGAACAUGACAGUUUGCCUAAGAAAAUCUAGCACUUAAAAUGGCACACAAUUUGUGUGUCUUUCCUCUAGCAUACAUAUUUUAUAUGGGCCAUAUUGAGUUUGUACACUUUUUGCAAGCAUUUUCUUAAUGUACUGUAUUUUUGUAAGAAUUUAAUAUAUAGAUUUUGUGUGUAAUUUUCUUUAAUGCCUGCACAAACAUCUCUCUAGCUGUUAAAGCGAAUUUCCCUCCAAAAUCUGUGGGUGGAGGAGGGCAGGACUAGUGCUGA
This is a long non-coding RNA of Sceloporus undulatus (fence lizard), 897 nucleotides long. RefSeq lists it as uncharacterized. The transcript has 3 exons. NCBI's taxonomy places the organism in Eukaryota, Metazoa, Chordata, Lepidosauria, Squamata, Phrynosomatidae. The record is from RefSeq and is a predicted model, not a curated record.